RNAcentral lists this ribosomal RNA (252 nucleotides) under uncultured bacterium. RNAcentral's name for it is "partial 16S ribosomal RNA". It matches the Rfam family "Bacterial small subunit ribosomal RNA", at positions 524 to 776 of the family's 1533-position model. The record is from RNAcentral.
UACGUAGGUCCCGAGCGUUGUCCGGAUUUAUUGGGCGUAAAGCGAGCGCAGGUGGUUUAUUAAAUCUGGUGUAAAAGGCAGUGGCUCAACCAUUGUAUGCAUUGGAAACUGGUAGACUUAAGUGCAGGAGAGGAGAGUGGAAUUCCAUGUGUAGCGGUGAAAUGCGUAGAUAUAUGGAGGAACACCGGUGGCGAAGGCGGCCAACUGGGCUUUAACUGACGCUGAGGCUCGAAAGUGUGGGGAGCAAACAGG